RNAcentral lists this ribosomal RNA (497 nucleotides) under uncultured bacterium. RNAcentral describes it as "partial 16S ribosomal RNA". It matches the Rfam family "Bacterial small subunit ribosomal RNA", at positions 28 to 507 of the family's 1533-position model. The record is from RNAcentral.
GACGAACGCUGGCGGCGUGCCUAAUACAUGCCAGUAGAACGCUGAAGAGAGGAGCUUGCUCUUCUUGGAUGAGUUGCGAACGGGUGAGUAACGCGUAGGUAACCUGCCUUGUAGCGGGGGAUAACUAUUGGAAACGAUAGCUAAUACCGCAUAACAAUGGAUGACACAUGUCAUUUAUUUGAAAGGGGCAAUUGCUCCACUACAAGAUGGACCUGCGUUGUAUUAGCUAGUAGGUGAGGUAAUGGCUCACCUAGGCGACGAUACAUAGCCGACCUGAGAGGGUGAUCGGCCACACUGGGACUGAGACACGGCCCAGACUCCUACGGGAGGCAGCAGUAGGGAAUCUUCGGCAAUGGGGGCAACCCUGACCGAGCAACGCCGCGUGAGUGAAGAAGGUUUUCGAAUCGUAAAGCUCUGUUGUAAGUCAAGAACGGGUGUGAGAGUGGAAAGUUCACACUGUGACGGUAGCUUACCAGAAAGGGACGGCUAACUACGUG